This 96-nucleotide ribosomal RNA is filed under the name Clostridium sp. AF21-20LB. RNAcentral's name for it is "partial 16S ribosomal RNA". It matches the Rfam family "Bacterial small subunit ribosomal RNA", at positions 1 to 91 of the family's 1533-position model. Lineage: Bacteria; Bacillati; Bacillota; Clostridia; Eubacteriales; Clostridiaceae. The record is from RNAcentral.
UUUAACAUGAGAGUUUGAUCCUGGCUCAGGAUGAACGCUGGCGGCGUGCUUAACACAUGCAAGUCGAACGAAGCAAUUUAGCGGAAGUUUUCGGAU